This 205-nucleotide ribosomal RNA is filed under the name uncultured bacterium. Its description in RNAcentral is "partial 16S ribosomal RNA". It matches the Rfam family "Bacterial small subunit ribosomal RNA", at positions 569 to 773 of the family's 1533-position model. The record is from RNAcentral.
GCGUAGACGGAAUGGCAAGUCUGAUGUGAAAGGCCGGGGCUCAACCCCGGGACUGCAUUGGAAACUGUCAAUCUAGAGUACCGGAGGGGUAAGUGGAAUUCCUAGUGUAGCGGUGAAAUGCGUAGAUAUUAGGAGGAACACCAGUGGCGAAGGCGGCUUACUGGACGGUAACUGACGUUGAGGCUCGAAAGCGUGGGGAGCAACA